GCCCUUGAGUUUGAUCCUGGCUCAGGAUGAACGCUAGCGGCAGGCUUAAUACAUGCAAGUCGAACGGCAGCGGGUCGUAGCAAUACGAUGCCGGCGAGUGGCGCACGGGUGCGUAACACGUAUGCAACCUACCUCAAACAGGGACAUAACAUCGAGAAAUCGGUACUAAUAUUCCAUAACAUUAUUGAUUGGCAUCAGUUGAUAAUUAAAGCUACGGUGGUUUGAGAUGGGCAUGCGUCCCAUUAGUUAGUUGGCGGGGUAACGGCCCACCAAGACGUCGAUGGGUAGGGGCUCUGAGAGGAUAACCCCCCACACUGGUACUGAGACACGGACCAGACUCCUACGGGAGGCAGCAGUAAGGAAUAUUGGUCAAUGGGCGGAAGCCUGAACCAGCCAUGCCGCGUGCAGGAAGACGGCCUUAUGGGUUGUAAACUGCUUUUAUACGGGAGUAAACUAACCUACGUGUAGGUUAUUGCAAGUACCGUAUGAAUAAGCAUCGGCUAACUCCGUGCCAGCAGCCGCGGUAAUACGAAGGAUGCAAGCGUUAUCCGGAUUCAUUGGGUUUAAAGGGUGCGUAGGCUGGCGCUAUAAGUCAGGGGUGAAAAGCAUAGGCUCAACUUAUGCACUGCCUUUGAUACUGUAGGCCUAGAGUGCAAAUGAGGUUGGCGGAAUGUGUAGUGUAGCGGUGAAAUGCAUAGAUAUUACACAGAACACCGAUAGCGAAGGCAGCUAACCAAGAUGCAACAGACGCUGAGGCACGAAAGCGUGGGGGAUCAAACAGGAUUAGAUACCCCU
Molecule: ribosomal RNA, 795 nt
Filed under: uncultured bacterium
Lineage: Bacteria
Description: bacterial SSU rRNA
Rfam family: Bacterial small subunit ribosomal RNA
Source: RNAcentral